This 514-nucleotide ribosomal RNA is filed under the name uncultured bacterium. RNAcentral's name for it is "partial 16S ribosomal RNA". It matches the Rfam family "Bacterial small subunit ribosomal RNA", at positions 28 to 523 of the family's 1533-position model. The record is from RNAcentral.
GACGAACGCUGGCGGCGUGCCUAACACAUGCAAGUCGAACGGAGAUUUCAGUAAUGAAAUCUUAGUGGCGAACGGGUGAGUAACGCGUAGACAACCUGCCUUUUAGAUGGGGACAACACCGCGAAAGUGGUGCUAAUACCGAAUGUUGUAUUUUAAUCGCAUGAUUGAGAUACUAAAGAUGGCCUCUGUAUAUGCUAUUGCUAAAAGAUGGAUCUGCGUCUGAUUAGCUAGUUGGUGAGGUAAUGGCUCACCAAGGCGACGAUCAGGAGCCGGUCUGACAGGAUGAACUGCCACACUGGGACUGAGACACGGCCCAGACUCCUACGGUAGGCCGCAGUGGGGAAUCUUCCGCAAUGGACGAAAGUCUGACGGAGCAACGCCGCGUGAGUGAAGAAGGUUUUCGGAUCGUAAAACUCUGUUUUCAGGGACGAAUGUGCAGAUUGUGAAUAAUGAUUUGUAAUGACGGUACCUGAGUAGAAAGCCACGGCUAACUACGUGCCAGCCGCCGCGGUAA